GACGAACGCUGGCGGCGUGCUUAACACAUGCAAGUCGAACGGAAAGGCCCUGCUUUUGUGGGGUGCUCGAGUGGCGAAAGGGUGAGUAACACGUGAGUAACCUGUCCUUGACUUUGGGAUAACUUCAGGAAACUGGGGCUAAUAUCGGAUAGGAGCUCCUGCUGCAUGGUGGGGGUUGGAAAGUUUCGGCGGUUGGGGAUGGACUCGCGGCUUAUCAGCUUGUUGGUGGGGUAGUGGCUUACCAAGGCUUUGACGGGUAGCCGGCCUGAGAGGGUGACCGGCCACAUUGGGACUGAGAUACGGCCCAGACUCCUACGGGAGGCAGCAGUGGGGAAUAUUGCACAAUGGGCGGAAGCCUGAUGCAGCACCGCCGCGUGCGGGAGGACGGCCUUCGGGUUGUAAACCGCUUUCGCCUGUGACGAAGCGUGAGUGACGGUAAUGGGUAAAGAAGCACCGGCUAACUACGUGC
RNAcentral lists this ribosomal RNA (469 nucleotides) under uncultured bacterium. RNAcentral describes it as "partial 16S ribosomal RNA". It matches the Rfam family "Bacterial small subunit ribosomal RNA", at positions 28 to 508 of the family's 1533-position model. The record is from RNAcentral.